UCGUACGACCAGUCGCAAGUUUCCAUUCAAGUUUCCUGAAAAAACAGCAACUAAAAAUUAAAAAAAAAUUGAUCGCUCGGCUGGUCAUAGAUCGCAGAUUGCAGAUCGCGCGACAUGUAAAUGAACAUAGUUUUAGUCGCAGGUCGCACGAUACGUAAACGAAUGUAAUCUUAGUCGGCACGACACGUAAACGAACAAUUCUAUAUUAGAAUCUUAACCGAGACAAGUUAUUACAGAGAGAUAGAUAGAUACGUUGAGGCAGUGAAGGAGGCAGAUGUGUCAGGAAAAAAAACAAACGAAUAUAGUACCAAAAACAUUGUUUCACGUGGAUCUGUUUUUUUUUUUUUGUGAGAAAGGAUCUGUUUUUUUCGUUGAUUAUCAUUGGAUUCUUUGGAAUUGAUGCUAAACUUAGAGAGCUAAUUAAUAUUUUAAUUUAACAUAGACUUUUAGUAUUGAGAAAUUAUAUAACAUAUUAGUUGGACAACAUAUAAUACAUAUUAUUAGACUUGAGUUGUAUGUUUAAAGUUCGGUUUGUUUCUUGUGAUUGGCAAUGAUAUAGCAAGCACGAACCAUGCUCGUUUCUUACCUUUUUGGUAUAAACAUCAAGAUUAAACGAAUAUUUGAAAACGUUGAUGUGUAAUGCCGAGCUUUAUCUGUCGCUAGUACUAAAACGGUGAAACGAACCAACCGAUACCAUAAAGUUUAUUUACAAACACAUACCUCUCCAUUUAUGGAAGUGAAAUGAUCAACAAACCUCAAUUGUUAUGUAAUUCAUUUGUGUGAAAAUGAGGACCUUUUAUUAUUUCUUUGUGAAUUAAAUACGGAAAAGCAAAAAGGAAGGCUUACGAGGAAUUGAUGAAGAAGCACAUGCGACGACUAUGGCCAGAAGUGAAUGUGCUCAAAUUUCAUUCAUGGCUGUUUGUGUUGUGUCGGUCCACGCAUGUCACUCCCUUUUCUUUCGCUUUACUAUUUUUAUGCAUUUUUUAUAAGCUCCCAACUGUCAUCGGACCCGACAUUAUGAUCACUUCAGUUCUCAUACAUGUUUAACCAUUAAUGCGACCAUUGUCCACAAAAAUUCAUGUUUUGUACUAAAAACAUUUCAAAUUUUAAAAGAGGGUUCGAUCCCAAGAUAAAAUGGUGGCGGUUCUUAAUGGACUUAUUAGGUUACUAAACCGUUUUAUUUCUCAAAGUUACACUCAACUCAAAACUGUUUAUGAAGUUGUCAGAAACUAUGUCACAAACAAUCUUUGAAGAGGUUCAGAACCCUUCAAAGAGAGAAGUUUAUAAAUAGGUUCUGAAUGGUUCAUAACCUGUUUUUGAACUCUGCAUAAACUCAGAACUAUGCAAAUUAGUCUGACCAUAUUAAUAUCUAUUUUCAAAUUAACAUUUUCUCCAUUCCUGGAACUUUCAAAUAUUCUUGGUGAGUCAGAUUCUAAUUUUUUAUUCAUUUUAGGCUGGACUUGCAACAUUUUGUUGUUAUUGAGAAACUGGAAUCAACAUGUGGCUUUGAAUUAGAUACACGAUUUUAUGGUUAACUAGCAAGCUACUUUGUGUACGUAGAACUUACAGAUACUUUCAUUUAACUACGGUAAAUAAUACAUGGCCAGUUAAGUUUCGAAAUUAGUAUCAAAUACGAUUUGAAUGUUAUUCCUGUCUCAUCUGGCACAUUUGCACAUAAUUUCAAAAAUUAUUAUAGUACUGUCCUUUUCAAAAUGAAUGACGUAAGUUGAUGAAUGAAACAAUGACAUGUAUAUCUUCAUAUUACAAUUUAAUAUUUCUUUAUUUUAAGAUGAAUAGAUAUGUUAUGAUCAUCUUAAGGCCGUAGUUAUAUAUCUAUUUGAUAAUCAUGGGAUUAGACUUGAACUUUAGACUUAUUUCAUUUAUGAGUAGCGCAUAAUAAUCAAUCAUGAUUAGUUUAAAUAAUUUAAAUUAUCUAAAUUAUCCUAAAAAUAUUUAAUUUAAAUAACUUUUAGUAUAAUUUUUUAUAGUAUAAACUUUUUUUUUUUUGAAACUUAUAGUAUAAACAUAGUUACAGUUACCAGAUAACUUGAUAAGUAAGGUUAUCUAGUUUUAGUCCUUUAUAUAGUAAGACCACACUACAUAACUCGUGACUGGUUAUGACUUAUGAUCGGCUAGCCACACUACGGAACUAAAUAUUUUUUUCAACGAUUACGUAACACUUAAAAUAGAUUAUCUUUGGUCUUUGAAAUUGCAAUUCCAAAAUAAUAAAUCUACUGAAAUAUAAUGUACUUAAAAUUUAUAGAGUUUACAGUUAUAUAUUUCUUAAUGUCAAAUAUAAUGAUGUGUGUUUUGAUUUCGUCUCUUAUCCACGAAUUAAAUUUGUCCAUAUUUCAACAAUAGGGUCCAUUAUCACUUAAUGUCUCAUUCAGUGUUAUCAUUUCCAUGGAUUAUACAGAGAGGGGCCUUUUUCAUAUUUAUAUUCAUACCUCUCUAUCAAUAUUGGUAUAACAAGAAGUCUAAAACCAGUCUUGAGUCUCUUGACACGUCUCUUCUCCUUAUCUUAUUAAGUCAUAUGUAUCCAUUGAACAUUACUUUCAUAUAUAGUUAUUUAUGAUAAUAUACCAGAAAAGAAUUACACUUGUUACUCUUUUAACUGUUCAACGAUUUGGCAACGGGCAUUUUUCCGAAUGCUUGACCUUUCUUUCAGAAUCAUUUUAUGAACAAGAAGUUAAGAUAAAAGAUAGAGAAAGAAAAAUAUAAAUAUUAAAUACAUUAUGAUUUACACAGAUUGUACAACAAAAAGGGUAAAAAAGUAAAAGGUAAAGUAAUGAAACAAAGUUUAUUUUUUCUUUUGCUUUUGGAUUUUAAUCACAUAUUCUCCACACACAAAACAACCCCCAAUACUCAAAACAAAGCAAACACUUCCAGCAAACACACAACCACCUUUCGAGAUUUCAAAAUUACAUAUCAAAUAACAAACUAAAUUAAUUAAUAAAAA
This is a long non-coding RNA of Brassica rapa (field mustard), 2959 nucleotides long. RefSeq lists it as uncharacterized. The record is from RefSeq and is a predicted model, not a curated record. NCBI's taxonomy places the organism in Eukaryota, Viridiplantae, Streptophyta, Magnoliopsida, Brassicales, Brassicaceae.